GACGAACGCUGGCGGCGUGCUUAACACAUGCAAGUCGAACGGAAAGGCCCUUCGGGGUACUCGAGUGGCGAACGGGUGAGUAACACGUGGGUGAUCUGCCCUGCACUUUGGGAUAAGCCUGGGAAAAUGGGUCUAAUACCGAAUAUGAUCAUCAGCUUCAUGGUUGGUGGAGGAAAGCUUUUGCGGUGUGGGAUGGGCCCGCGGCCUAUCAGCUUGUUGGUGGGGUAAUGGCCUACCAAGGCGACGACGGGUAGCCGGCCUGAGAGGGUGACCGGCCACACUGGGACUGAGAUACGGCCCAGACUCCUACGGGAGGCAGCAGUGGGGAAUAUUGCACAAUGGGCGCAAGCCUGAUGCAGCGACGCCGCGUGAGGGAUGACGGCCUCCGGGUUGUAAACCUCUUUCAGCACAGACGAAGCGCAAGUGACGGUAUGUGCAGAAGAAGGACCGGCCAACUACGUGCCAGCAGCCGCCGUAA
RNAcentral lists this ribosomal RNA (478 nucleotides) under uncultured bacterium. RNAcentral's name for it is "partial 16S ribosomal RNA". It matches the Rfam family "Bacterial small subunit ribosomal RNA", at positions 28 to 523 of the family's 1533-position model. The record is from RNAcentral.